RNAcentral lists this ribosomal RNA (489 nucleotides) under Macrococcoides caseolyticum. RNAcentral describes it as "bacterial LSU rRNA". It matches the Rfam family "Bacterial large subunit ribosomal RNA", at positions 2139 to 2627 of the family's 2925-position model. The record is from RNAcentral. Lineage: Bacteria; Bacillati; Bacillota; Bacilli; Caryophanales; Staphylococcaceae.
UAGGAUAGGUGGGAGGCUUUGAAGUGUGGACGCCAGUCUGCAUGGAGCCGACCUUGAAAUACCACCCUUUAAUGUUUGAUGUUCUAACGUUGACCCGUAAUCCGGGUUGCGGACAGUGUCUGGUGGGUAGUUUGACUGGGGCGGUCUCCUCCUAAAGAGUAACGGAGGAGCACGAAGGUUGGCUAAUCCUGGUCGGACAUCAGGAGGUUAGUGCAAUGGCAUAAGCCAGCUUGACUGCGAGCGUGACGGCGCGAGCAGGUGCGAAAGCAGGUCAUAGUGAUCCGGUGGUUCUGAAUGGAAGGGCCAUCGCUCAACGGAUAAAAGGUACUCCGGGGAUAACAGGCUGAUACCGCCCAAGAGUUCAUAUCGACGGCGGUGUUUGGCACCUCGAUGUCGGCUCAUCACAUCCUGGGGCUGAAGUAGGUCCCAAGGGUAUGGCUGUUCGCCAUUUAAAGUGGUACGCGAGCUGGGUUUAGAACGUCGUGAGAC